This 272-nucleotide ribosomal RNA is filed under the name uncultured bacterium. RNAcentral's name for it is "partial 16S ribosomal RNA". It matches the Rfam family "Bacterial small subunit ribosomal RNA", at positions 83 to 354 of the family's 1533-position model. The record is from RNAcentral.
CUCCGCCGGCGACCGGCGCACGGAUGAGUAACACGUAUGCAACCUGCCCCUGUCAGGGGGACAACCCGCCGAAAGGCGGGCUAAACCCGCGUACAUGCCACCGGGGCAUCCCGGAGGCAGGAAAGGCUUCGGCCGGACAGGGAUGGGCAUGCGGCGCAUUAGGCAGUAGGCGGGGUAACGGCCCACCUAACCGACGAUGCGUAGGGGUUCUGAGAGGAAGGUCCCCCACACUGGUACUGAGACACGGACCAGACUCCUACGGGAGGCAGCAG